Molecule: long non-coding RNA, 1405 nt
Organism: Symphalangus syndactylus (siamang)
Lineage: Eukaryota; Metazoa; Chordata; Mammalia; Primates; Hylobatidae
Source: RefSeq, a predicted model, not a curated record
UGAACCACCCCAGGCCCUUUGCACCUGCUAUUCCCUCUCCUCAGCAUGCUCUGCCCCAGACAAUUGCAGUGCUAACUUCUUACUUCCUUCAGAUUUCACUCAGAAAUGACUUUCUCAGUGUGGUCUCCCAUGACCAUUCUAUUUAAGAUUUCAACUACUUUGCCAGCAUUUCACUUCCCCUCCCUUCAUCUUUUCUUCCAAGAACUCACUGCCCUCUCGCAUACUGUAUCUUUUACUUAUUUAUCUUGUUCAGUUUCUGCCUGCCUCACCACAGUGUACAUUUCACAAGGGCAGGGAUUUUGUCUGUUUUGUUGACUGCUGUAGCCCUGGCAUCUUGAGCAGUGCCAGCACCUGGUAGCAUUAAAUAAAUAUUUACUGAAUGAAUGAGUGGCUUCAUGCUUAAAAGCAAGAAGAGAGACCUUCAUAGAGAAGUAGGAAAAUGAACUGUUGCACAAAUAAAGGGCCAUGUAAUGAGAGAGAGAGAGAGAGAGCAAGAGAAAGAGCAAACAAUUAAGGAGCAGCAGUGGCUUCCUGCAGGGGAGACCAAUGCCUUCUGUCCUCUGAGGAAACAGCUUGGCAUUCUUCCAAUUGAUGAAUGGCAUGGACCAGGAGCACCAGUUAUCUUCAGCUUCUAAGCAUCCGAAUAAAUAAACAUACAAGUGCAUAACAUAAAACAAAUUCAAAUUACAAAUGAGAAAACCAAUCUAGGUUACCGGCAAGUCCUAUGACUUGAUGUGGAGGCCUGGAAGUGCAUCCUUGAACAUUGCAAUGCAGUGAGCCAAGGAAAGAUGAGAGGCCACAUGAAUAACUGGGCCAGUGACAAGACACAUGUCCUCCUCCUUGUGGGUAUACACCAGAAUACCCUGCAUCCAGAGAAUGCUCAAAAAGUGUUGGUGGAAGUGACAGAAUUCCAUCACCAUUAAACACAACUAGUGUUGUGGUUGACAAUGGCACUGAAGCAGGUGAAAAAUCAAUACAGCAGCUUCUGUCUUUAAAGAGUUUGCAGCCUCCUGAAGAGGGUUUACAGGUAAAAAAGGACCCAGGCUGAUAGGGCCGCUACCAUUUAGAAAGUGACAAGAGGAAGAGAGAAUGAAACAAAAGUAAGCACUGGCUCUCAGCUUCUACCUGAAGAGACAAACAUUGCUUUCACUUACAUUUCACUGGCCAAAUCAAGCCCAUGGCAACAAUUGAGUUCAAAAGCAUAAGGAGGUAUCUGGAAGGAAGAGAAUCAGAAAAUUUCUGAUGAGCCUCACUGACUACCUUCAGGGCAAAAAUGAAUAGAGGCACUCCAGAUCAGAGAUCUGCAUUGGAAACUCCUUGAGAACCAGAAGGGUAUGCUGUAUUUUUGUAAUUGUGAGGAGCACAGAAAGACCGAAGCCCAAAUAAACUUCCUUUAUUCAAUAUU